RNAcentral lists this ribosomal RNA (535 nucleotides) under Acestrorhynchus lacustris. RNAcentral's name for it is "partial small subunit ribosomal RNA". It matches the Rfam family "Bacterial small subunit ribosomal RNA", at positions 657 to 1402 of the family's 1533-position model. Lineage: Eukaryota; Metazoa; Chordata; Actinopteri; Characiformes; Acestrorhynchidae. The record is from RNAcentral.
UAAAGCCAAAGAUCUUCUAUGUCGUCGCACGCACCGCGAAGAUACGAAGCCCAAACACGAAAGUUGCUUUAUUUACCCUGACCCCACGAAAGCUAAGACACAAACUGGGAUUAGAUACCCCAUUAUGCUUAGCCCUAAACUUAGGCGUUCAACCUACCAAUAACGCCCGCCAGGGGACUACAAGCGCUAGCUUCAAACCCAAGGGACUUGACGGUGUCUCAAACCCGCCUAGAGGAGCCUGUUCUAGAACCGAUAAUCCGCGUUUAACCUCACCACCCCUUGUCCACACAGCCUAUAUACCGCCGUCGCAAGCUUACCCUGUGAAGGAUCCACAGUAAGCAAAAUGGGCUAACCCCCCAAAACGUCAGGUCGAGGUGUAGCUUAUGGGGUGGGAAGAAAUGGGCUACAUUUUCUGAAACAGAAUAUAACGAACAACACUAUGAAAGCAGUGUUUAAAGGUGGAUUUAGUAGUAAAAAGGAAUCAGAAUGUCCUUUUGAAUUAGGCUCUGAGAUGCGUACACACCGCCCGUCACUC